Molecule: long non-coding RNA, 1389 nt
Organism: Drosophila mojavensis
Lineage: Eukaryota; Metazoa; Arthropoda; Insecta; Diptera; Drosophilidae
Exons: 2
Source: RefSeq, a predicted model, not a curated record
UUAUAUUUUUGCUUAGCGAAAAUUUAAAAAACAAAAAGACGUUUCAAACUAAUUAAAUAUCUAUGUAUUUAAAUGUGUGUCAAGUACAUGCGUGCAACAAGAAAAAUUAAGUAAUAGAAUGUUUGUAUGCUUAAAGGCCAUUGCUAAACAACAACAACAACAAUGUAUAACUAUAAAACAAUAAUAUUAAAAACAAUAACAAUUGAUACCAGUGUAAGAUAAAUGAAUAUUACGAUUUGUCUGUACCACAGAUCUUUGUUUAAGCAAGCGCCGGCACGCUUACUGUAUGACAUCCCUUUACCACACCCACACAUACACUCACACACACUCACAGUUGAAUCAUGCUUAUGUACAAUAUUUUUAUAUAUUUUAAUAAUCAAUUUCAAUUAUAAACUACAUUAAUCUAACUGAAAAGGGAGACGCCCACAAGAAGCGAACAAAGCAUAACUAAUAAAGACUAUUACAAAAACGGAAGCGUAGAACCGUAGAGGAAGAAUUCUGUGAGAACUGGCGCAACUGAAACUAUUUCGAGAAUAAAUAUUGUAUGGUGUUUUCAACUGAUCCCUAAAGUAUGCAAUGCCAAAUCCGUUUGCACGGGUACAAAUUUUAGUAUCCCAGACUACGCGUAUGUGUGUGGUCCCUAUAUCUUAGACUUUAAUGAAAAAAUUUUACUAGGAGCACAUUAUCAGAAGGGUAUGCUUAGUUUAAUUCUGAAAACGUCUUCAGAUUUAAGAAAUUUUUGCCUUUUCUAUCAAAUUUUUUGUGGCUAAAUUUCAAGCGCUUCAAUUUUAGAAUUUGUUUAAAAUUACAAUAAGGGAUAGAAUUUCAAAAUCGUCCUUGAACUAUUAAUUGAGCAGCUGCUGAGACGGAGACAGCUCUUUCAGGCUUUUUAGACCGCUUUCAAAUAAAUAAUCAAGUAAAAAACCUCUAGUUUGAGGUCUGCUCGACUACAACUUCUGUAAUCCUUUCAAACAACUGUUACUUUGAUCAUGCUAAGCUCCUUCAAAGAUAAUUUCAGGAUCUGGAAACCCCAUUUAUAAUUCUCUUUUCAGUCGCAUCUGAUGUACCUAAGUUCUUCAAGAGUUUUCUACCUAAAAUGAUAAAAAUUUGAAUUUUUGAUAUAUAAUAUAUAAUAUAAUAUGUAAAAUAGUUUUUCUAGUAAGACAUUCGAAAAAGUUUCUUUGAUUUUCUAAACAGCUUCUUCUAAUGAGGGUUUUCCUAUAGUCUUAUUCAAAAAACAUUUUCUAAAUAUUUUCACUUAUUUAAUUUUCUAAUCUAUUUCUCUGAAAUGAUUUUAUAAAUAUUUUUAAAAUAGUUUCUCUACAAAGAAUUGUCAACAAGUUUUUUUGAUACAAAUUUUGCAAGUACUAAUAAAAAUUUCUAAUUAGA